UUAGAAACUGUGGUGUUUGUACUGUUGCUAACAGUACAGAUGUUAGGCAAAGAGCCUACGACUGCACCUCGUGGCCCCUGGGCUCCCCAAGCGCUUGGUGCCACUGCAGUGCCCUCAAGCCUGUGACCCAGGCUGCUUCAGCUUCUGAUGAGCCUACAUGCACGUUCACGCACUUUGAAGACACAGAAUUCUAGAAAGCAGCCCGAACACUGCGGCCAUAAGCUUCUAUGCCAGCUCGUUCAAGGGGGUCCCAGGAGGGGCCAGGAGACUGGCCGGCGUCUCAGCUUCCUACGUCCGCAUGGGCAACUCUGAUUCCACCCGUGGUGUGUCGCAAAGGGCCUCCUGAUUGGGCCUCAUGCCAAACAACUUGUUACAAAAAGAGCUUGGGUCCCAGACUGCACUGAAGCUUCAUGAGACCUCUCCUCAUCUACACCAGUGAGUGGCCGACUCUGGAGCCCAGGCUGUUGCUUACGGGUCUGGUGGUGAAUUCUCCAUAGUCUGUGGUUGCCCUGGAGUUUGCAAUACACAUUGAUAACGAAUCCAUGCCCAUCUUCACAGAACAUGAUAUCACUUUACAGUGUAUAAGUAACUGCUGAAGUUUCAAAAUGUCUGUUUACCAUAUUUAAGUUUUG
This is a long non-coding RNA of Homo sapiens (human), 632 nucleotides long. RefSeq lists it as uncharacterized. The transcript has 4 exons. Lineage: Eukaryota; Metazoa; Chordata; Mammalia; Primates; Hominidae. The record is from RefSeq and is a predicted model, not a curated record.